UCCAACUGCCUAAUGGGAACCGAG
This 24-nucleotide non-coding RNA is filed under the name Arabidopsis thaliana (thale cress). Lineage: Eukaryota; Viridiplantae; Streptophyta; Magnoliopsida; Brassicales; Brassicaceae. The record is from RNAcentral.